Molecule: long non-coding RNA, 1524 nt
Organism: Syzygium oleosum
Lineage: Eukaryota; Viridiplantae; Streptophyta; Magnoliopsida; Myrtales; Myrtaceae
Exons: 2
Source: RefSeq, a predicted model, not a curated record
UCCAAAAUUGAUGUAGAAAUAUUUGAUUAAUAAUUAGGAAAGUAUGAUUUACUCUCGUCAUAGUUCAUUGCAUGCCCACUUUCGUCCUCUAUUAUAAAAAAUACCACUCUUCCUCCUAAGACAAGGUCCCAUGAUAAAAAGUACCAAAUUGCCCUCUCUUGAAAAAACACCUAGACAACCCUAGCUCUGAAAUUGCAACAAACCCAAAGCCACCAAAUGCAAAACCCCAGAAGCCCCUACCUCAACAAAAUCAAACUCGCUCCACCCACUCGUCAUUGCCGACGCAAGUGCAUGCGAUUGCAAGACGUUCACAACCUCGAUCCAGGGUCACCGGGCUCGCACAACCUUGAAUCUAGGUUUUGGAAGCCAUGGACGAUCCGAGGAUGUCCAUGGCGGAUGGCGACCUCAGAUCAAGACAACUACUGAGGCAAGGGAAGCGAGGUGGUUAGGAGGAUGUGCACUCAUCACUUGAGCAAGAGAAGGAUGUAACAGAAAGUCAAUGCCAUGGAUUUUACAAGGCUGUUUGAUAGUUCAGACGGGCAAGAGAUGACAACGACAAAAUAUUUUUGAACUCAUUAUUGCCUUCCCCAGAAAGGGCCUCCCUAAGAUCCAAAACCCAUGUUAUAUAAUCAGGUUUCAUGACCAUUCACCAUUUUAACAUUCAUGCUCAGUAGAUUCAAUUCGGCUAGGCUUCCUUGUGCCGAACCCUCAUGGCGUCGAGAUAAGCUUUGCCCUGCAGCUUGCUCGUUAGAUAGCCCCUCAGAUGUUCUGCCGCCGAUAUCCUCCUGAACAAUGCUGGGGUCUCCGGGGUGAUGAGGCUCGGCGCGGGACCUAUCUCAGCAUCCAUUCUUGGACUGGAGAAGGUUGCGAUGGAGACCCUUUCCUUCACUGCAUUCACCGUUGCCCGAUGCUCGAUGCUCUGGUAAAUCCCAUUUGUUAUAAUCUGCUAUAAGCCAACGAAGGGAAGGCCUUGAGUAUUAGACAAUGAAUUAUCGUGAGUAUGGUCAAAUGUGUUAGUUGAUGUUGCAAUACUAUUACCUCAACGACGUCUCCAACAUUGAUGAUGAAAGCACCAGGGAGAGGUUUCACAGGAACCCACUUCCCAUCUUUCCUUAUCUGGAGGCCCUCCAUUUCAUUGACCUGGAGGAGAAUGGUAAUCGCAUCAGCAUCGGAGUGAGAGUUGAGGCCUAUUACAAGCUCGGGUUGUGGACAUGGUGGGUAAUAGUUCAUCCUCAUCCCUUGCAACCCGCCUUCAAACAUCCCCUCAAGGUCCUUCGCCUCCAUUCCUAAUGCCUUCGCCAUGAGGUAGAGGAGCUUUAUCGCUAGAGUUUGCAUUUCCUUCGAGUAGGUGUCCAGAUCGUCUCUAGCAUGUGGAUAAUUUCAUUCUUUAGGCAAUAAGAAGAUAUCUUGGAACAUGCCACGCACUAAACCCUCAACAAGAAGAAAGUUGUUCAUGUAGCGAUCACAUCAAGUGUUAUGCUGAUGCAGUAUCACUCACCUAAUCAAGUGAUCUCCUAUUUUAUA